Molecule: ribosomal RNA, 848 nt
Filed under: Trichoderma reesei
Lineage: Eukaryota; Fungi; Ascomycota; Sordariomycetes; Hypocreales; Hypocreaceae
Description: LSU rRNA
Rfam family: Eukaryotic large subunit ribosomal RNA
Source: RNAcentral
UUAAGCAUAUCAAUAAGCGGAGGAAAAGAAACCAACAGGGAUUGCCCCAGUAACGGCGAGUGAAGCGGCAACAGCUCAAAUUUGAAAUCUGGCCCUUUCGGGUCCGAGUUGUAAUUUGUAGAGGAUGCUUUUGGCAAGGCGCCGCCCGAGUUCCCUGGAACGGGACGCCACAGAGGGUGAGAGCCCCGUCUGGCUGGCCGCCGAGCCUCUGUAAAGCUCCUUCGACGAGUCGAGUAGUUUGGGAAUGCUGCUCAAAAUGGGAGGUAUAUGUCUUCUAAAGCUAAAUAUUGGCCAGAGACCGAUAGCGCACAAGUAGAGUGAUCGAAAGAUGAAAAGCACCUUGAAAAGAGGGUUAAAUAGUACGUGAAAUUGUUGAAAGGGAAGCGCUUGUGACCAGACUUGGGCGCGGCGGAUCAUCCGGGGUUCUCCCCGGUGCACUUCGCCGUGUCCAGGCCAGCAUCAGUUCGUCGCGGGGGAAAAAGGCUUCGGGAACGUGGCUCCCCUGGGAGUGUUAUAGCCCGUUGCAUAAUACCCUGCGGUGGACUGAGGACCGCGCAUCUGCAAGGAUGCUGGCGUAAUGGUCACCAGCGACCCGUCUUGAAACACGGACCAAGGAGUCGUCUUCGUAUGCGAGUGUUCGGGUGUCAAACCCCUACGCGUAAUGAAAGUGAACGCAGGUGAGAGCUUCGGCGCAUCAUCGACCGAUCCUGAUGUUCUCGGAUGGAUUUGAGUAAGAGCAUACGGGGCCGGACCCGAAAGAAGGUGAACUAUGCCUGUAUAGGGUGAAGCCAGAGGAAACUCUGGUGGAGGCUGGCAGCGGUUCUGACGUGCAAAUCGAUCGUCAAAUA